RNAcentral lists this transfer RNA (74 nucleotides) under candidate division TM7 genomosp. GTL1. It matches the Rfam family "tRNA". From Rfam's summary of the family: Transfer RNA (tRNA) molecules are approximately 80 nucleotides in length. Their secondary structure includes four short double-helical elements and three loops (D, anti-codon, and T loops). Lineage: Bacteria; Candidatus Saccharimonadota. The record is from Rfam by way of RNAcentral.
GGGCCAAUAGCUCAGUCGGUUAGAGCACCUGCCUCUUAAGCAGGGUGUCCUGGGUUCGAGCCCCAGUUGGCCCU